CAGUGAUUUUAUCGUUAACAAAUACAUUACAAGAAUAAAUUCUACGCAGACUUGACAUUUUUGCAAAUAAGAAUCAUUCAUAAGCUUCGUUGUAUUUCUUCUUUCUAUCCACGAACUCCUUGUGUGACGCUCUUCUAAUGGAACAAGUUAUGAAAAAGCUUCUAAGACUAUCUACUGCCGUCACCCAUUUUGAAAUUUUCACCAGGGUGAAGGUAACAGGCCAGCGGCACAUCACUGAAUAAUAAGAUUUAUCGUUACAUAUAACGCUCAGACAGCUGAAAGGGUUAACAUGUUCGGCGCCAGGUUUCAGUCUCACGACUGCGAUAUAAAUACUGUUAGAAAUGUUUCUAAUCGUAAACGUGGAUGUUAAAUGGUGUGAAAAACAAAAAUAAAAUUAUUUGAUACGUAGA
Long non-coding RNA from Limulus polyphemus (Atlantic horseshoe crab), 410 nucleotides. RefSeq lists it as uncharacterized. Lineage: Eukaryota; Metazoa; Arthropoda; Merostomata; Xiphosura; Limulidae. The transcript has 3 exons. The record is from RefSeq and is a predicted model, not a curated record.